RNAcentral lists this ribosomal RNA (468 nucleotides) under uncultured bacterium. RNAcentral describes it as "partial 16S ribosomal RNA". It matches the Rfam family "Bacterial small subunit ribosomal RNA", at positions 28 to 507 of the family's 1533-position model. The record is from RNAcentral.
GACGAACGCUGGCGGCGUGCUUAACACAUGCAAGUCGAACGGAAAGGCCCUGCUUUUGUGGGGUGCUCGAGUGGCGAACGGGUGAGUAACACGUGAGUAACCUGCCCUGGACUUUGGGAUAACUUCAGGAAACUGAGGCUAAUACCGGAUAGGAGCUCCUGCUGCACGGUGGGGGUUGGAACGUUUCGGCGGUUGGGGCUGGACGCGCGGGUGCUCAGCUGGUGGGUGGGGACGUGGCUUACCACGGCUUUGACGGGUAGCCGACCUGCGAGGGUGACCGGCCACAUUGGGACUGGGGUACGGCCCCGCCUCCUACGGGCGGCCGCAGUCGGGUAUAUUGCACUAUGGGCCGAAGCCUGAUGCAGCCCCGCCGCCUGCGGGAUGACGGCCUUCGGGUUGUAAACCGCUUUCGCCUGUGCCGAAGCGUUAGUGACGGUAAUGUGUAAAGAAGCACCGGCUAACUACGUG